AGAGUUUGAUCAUGGCUCAGGACGAACGCUGGCGGCGUGCCUAAUACAUGCAAGUCGAGCGGACCGAAAGGAGAGCUCGCUCUCCUUUCGGUCAGCGGCGGACGGGUGAGUAACACGUGGGUAACCUGCCUGUAAGACCGGGAUAACUCGCGGAAACGCGAGCUAAUACCGGAUAGGUCCCGUGGCCGCAUGGCGACGGGAGGAAAGAUGGCGCGAGCUAUCGCUUACAGAUGGGCCCGCGGCGCAUUAGCUAGUUGGUGGGGUAACGGCCCACCAAGGCGACGAUGCGUAGCCGACCUGAGAGGGUGAUCGGCCACAUUGGGACUGAGACACGGCCCAAACUCCUACGGGAGGCAGCAGUAGGGAAUCUUCCGCAAUGGGCGAAAGCCUGACGGAGCAACGCCGCGUGAGCGAAGAAGGCCUUCGGGUCGUAAAGCUCUGUUGUCAGGGAAGAACAAGUACCGGAGUAACUGCCGGUACCUUGACGGUACCUGACCAGAAAGCCCCGGCUAACUACGUGCCAGCAGCCGCGGUAAUACGUAGGGGGCGGGCGUUGUCCGGAAUCAUUGGGCGUAAAGCGCGCGCAGGCGGUCCCUUAAGUCUGAUGUGAAAUCUUGCGGCUCAACCGCAAGAGGUCAUUGGAAACUGGGGGACUUGAGUGCAGGAGAGGGAAGCGGAAUUCCAUGUGUAGCGGUGAAAUGCGUAGAGAUAUGGAGGAACACCAGUGGCGAAGGCGGCUUCCUGGCCUGUAACUGACGCUCAGGCGCGAAAGCGUGGGGAGCAAACAGGAUUAGAUACCCUGGUAGUCCACGCCGUAAACGAUGAGUGCUAGGUGUUGGAGGGGUUUACCCUUCAGUGCUGGAGCUAACGCAUUAAGCACUCCGCCUGGGGAGUACGGCCGCAAGGCUGAAACUCAAAUGAAUUGACGG
This 929-nucleotide ribosomal RNA is filed under the name uncultured bacterium. RNAcentral describes it as "bacterial SSU rRNA". It matches the Rfam family "Bacterial small subunit ribosomal RNA", at positions 8 to 916 of the family's 1533-position model. The record is from RNAcentral.